Molecule: ribosomal RNA, 560 nt
Filed under: uncultured bacterium
Lineage: Bacteria
Description: bacterial SSU rRNA
Rfam family: Bacterial small subunit ribosomal RNA
Source: RNAcentral
GAUUUGGCAUGGGGGCAACCCUGNUCCAGCCUGCCGCGUGCGGGAAGAAGGCCUUCGGGUUGUAAACCGCUUUCGGCCGGAACGAAAUCGCCGGGGAGAACAUCUCCGGUGGAUGACGGUACCGGAAGAAGAAGCACCGGCUAACUACGUGCCAGCAGCCGCGGUAAUACGUAGGGUGCGAGCGUUAAUCGGAAUUACUGGGCGUAAAGCGUGCGCAGGUGGUUCGCUAAGACAGAUGUGAAAUCCCCGGGCUCAACCUGGGAACUGCGUUUGUGACUGGCGGGCUAGAGUGCGGAAGAGGGAGGUGGAAUUCCACGUGUAGCAGUGAAAUGCGUAGAGAUGUGGAGGAACACCGAUGGCGAAGGCAGCCUCCUGGUCUAGCACUGACGCUCAUGCACGAAAGCGUGGGGAGCAAACAGGAUUAGAUACCCUGGUAGUCCACGCCCUAAACGAUGACGACUAGUUGUUGGGGUAGAAGUACCUUAGUAACGCAGCUAACGCGUGAAGUCGUCCGCCUGGGGAGUACGGUCGCAAGAUUAAAACUCAAAAAAAUUGACGGA